RNAcentral lists this ribosomal RNA (287 nucleotides) under uncultured bacterium. Its description in RNAcentral is "partial 16S ribosomal RNA". It matches the Rfam family "Bacterial small subunit ribosomal RNA", at positions 773 to 1060 of the family's 1533-position model. The record is from RNAcentral.
GUGGAUUAGAUACCCUAGUAGUCCACGCCGUAAACGGUGGGUGCUAGGUGUAGGCGGUAUUCCACGCCGUCUGUGCCGCAGCUAACGCAUUAAGCACCCCGCCUGGGGAGUACGGCCGCAAGGCUAAAACUCAAAGGAAUUGACGGGGGCCCGCACAAGCAGCGGAGCAUGUGGCUUAAUUCGACGCAACGCGAAGAACCUUACCAAGGCUUGACAUGCAGGGAAAUCCUCCAGAGAUGGGGGGUCCGUAAGGGUCCUGCACAGGUGGUGCAUGGCCGUCGCCAGCU